AACUUUCAACAACGGAUCUCUUGGUUCCCGGCAUCGAUGAAGAACGCAGCGAAAUGCGAUAAGUAAUGUGAAUUGCCAGAAUUCCGUGAAUCAUCAAAUCUUUGAACGCACAUUGCGCCCUUCUGGUAUUCCGGAGGGCAUGCCUGUCCGAGCGUCAUUGCAACCCCUCAAGCACG
Molecule: ribosomal RNA, 176 nt
Filed under: Amauroascus aureus
Lineage: Eukaryota; Fungi; Ascomycota; Eurotiomycetes; Onygenales; Onygenaceae
Description: 5.8S ribosomal RNA
Rfam family: 5.8S ribosomal RNA (bases 1-157)
About the family: 5.8S ribosomal RNA (5.8S rRNA) is a component of the large subunit of the eukaryotic ribosome. It is transcribed by RNA polymerase I as part of the 45S precursor that also contains 18S and 28S rRNA.
Source: RNAcentral